Molecule: ribosomal RNA, 443 nt
Filed under: uncultured bacterium
Lineage: Bacteria
Description: partial 16S ribosomal RNA
Rfam family: Bacterial small subunit ribosomal RNA
Source: RNAcentral
CCUACGGGUGGCAGCAGUGGGGAAUAUUGGGCAAUGGACGCAAGUCUGACCCAGCAACGCCGCGUGAAGGAAGAAGGCUUUCGGGUUGUAAACUUCUGUCCUAUGGGAAGAAAAAAAUGACGGUACCAUAUGAGGAAGCCCCGGCUAACUACGUGCCAGCAGCCGCGGUAAUACGUAGGGGGCGAGCGUUGUCCGGAAUUACUGGGCGUAAAGAGAGCGUAGGCGGCACUACAAGUCUCAUGUGAAAUACCCGGGCUUAACUUGGGGGUUGCAUGGGAAACUGUAGAGCUUGAGUACAGGAGAGGCAAGCGGAAUUCGUAGUGUAGCGGUGAAAUGCAUAGAUAUUAGGAGGAACACCAGUGGCGAAGGCGGCUUGCUGGACUGAAACUGACGCUGAGGCUCGAAAGCGUGGGGAGCAAACAGGAUUAGAUACCCGGGUAGUC